UGUGAGACCUGAUGGCAGAAGACUUUCAACGCACUCAAAACUCGGUUCAAUAACAUAUCAGGAGAUAAAAAGAAGAUGUCGAAGAUGACAUAUCGGAUCCUUCCUCACGACAAGGGAACAACAACUUUGAUAAAUAUAUCCUACACUGUACUUAUGUUAUAUGUGCAGCUCGCUUAUAAAUACCAGGCUGAAUUGAGAUAGAAAACAUGUUAUGUUCCAUUGCAUAAGAGACUAUGUACUGUGAGAAUUGCGUUUUAUGAAAUGUGAGUAUGCGAGUUGUGUGAGAGUCGCACAUGUGAGGUGAACUGAGUCGAGAGAAUUCAGAUGAGUCUGUCAUGUAAACUAUUCUUAUCUUUCUUAAUAUUCAAUCGAAUACAAAUUGUUCAGCAAUGUAGAUUCAUUCUGAAUCUAGUAUGGUAUCAGACUCAGAAAUCAUGAAUUUCUGAGGGUAUCGAUCCUAUCUUCCGCUGAUUCAACCCUAAAUUCUUUAACUCAUCUUCCUGCUGUUGUCUUCCUCUUCUCUGCUGGUAGUUGUCAUCAGAAAUUAAUCUCUGUGAUGAAAUUUGAUCUGAGUUUACCUCUUAAAAGACAAAUUCGCUUAGUUUUGAUGUUUCUUUUCUGCAUCUCAAGCAACAAUUGACUACGUCUUGGUUGUUAAAGGAGUUUUGUCUGAAGAUUCAUGGAGUUUGGAUGAAGAUUUGUUACUGGUGGUUAUUGGUGUGGAGUGAGAUUUGAUCCUGGUGCUUCACUGCUACGUCUUCAAAUUGAAUCAAGCAUACUUCUCAGUUCUAGAAUUUGGUUUUUCUUCUUCGUCAGGAAAACUAGGUCAAAGCUGUCCUCACUUUCGUCGUGUUGAAAAUCUUGCGUGUUUCAAUGAUGGAGCUGAGAGUGAGGAGUGGAUUUGGAAUUGGUUUGGUACUGCAUCAGAGAUCGGAGUUCUCUUUGUUGAAUUUACAUUCACUUCUGAAUGUAGCCUGGUUUAGUUAUCUUUACUCUUCUGUUGGUGAAUAAUAUGGGUACUUUAAUAAGUGCUUUCGAUAAACUGCUUCAGCUUUGGUUUGUUGUUUUCAAUAUUUCUUUGCUUGCUAAUAAUGGUGUUUCAAGAAGAUCACAGUUGCAGAGACUCGUGAGUUAUUGCAUCUCAUUGUACAAGGUUGGUACACAAGUGACAUUCCAAAAUGUUUAUAUUGGUUACGACCGUGUAGUUCUUCUCCAGACCAUGUUUCGUUUAUCACCUACUAGUUUAUGCGCACAAUUUUGGUUACCUGUUGUUCCUUACUGUGAUGUGCUUGUCAGUGAACUGGUGCUGCUAUUCUUCAGUUGUUUUCUCAUGGUCAGCAAGUUCAAAUUCCACUACGGCGCCUAUUCUGUCUUGCAUACCGCUGUUGUGCCUUUUGCACUGAAUUUUGGGAUGGCAAUUCAAUAUGAGAGUCUGGUGCUGAAUCGGCUACACUUAUUAGCUAGCUGCAAGUCAUCAAUUUUCAUCAUGCCGUGCACCUACUUCUCUUUAUGAAUCUAAAAUGUGCAGGUCGUAUAAGCUCAUGCAGGAUACAGUGCUACUGUUAGAUGGGUUUUUCAGGUUGUUAAUAUUCAAGAUGGUUCUGCAUUGAAUUUCACUGGUGCUAAUAUUGGUCCUUGGAAAUGCAUCCAUACAAGCUAUAUUGCAGAAUGCGUAAGUGACGCCAACAGCUCGUCCAAUGGAGUCAUACUUGGUUUGCAAUUUCACUUCUCUGUGUUCAAAUUACUACUGCAAUCUUAUCAGGACAUUCUUACACUACAAGCUAUUAUAUUUCUUUUGCUAGCAAGCUAGUGUAGUUACAGUUUUGGAUGAACUUUUAGCUCAAUUCUGGCAGGCGUAAAGUUACGGAUAUCAGUUGUGCAGCAUACUGCUUCGAAUACAGUGGUGCGGAGUUUCUCCACAGUAUACAGGGGUGCCUAUUCUUAUGCAACUCAUGAUGGCCUUAUUACACUGCAAGGAACUAUUUCUACCGGAGCUUGCUAUUUUUCCCGAUCCACCAGCUGCUACAUUACUUCUUAGUGGUGACAUGUUCAACUGCCUUUCUCUGCAUCAAAAUGGUGGUACAGUUAGUUUUCAUCAGUUGGUGUUCUGUUUUGCAGCUGUAGCUUCUGCGUCAACAAUUCUGCAUCACCCAACUGCCCCUUUUGGAGCUACUGUUUUUAGACUUAUGGAUUUCCACCUGCAACUACUACAUCCACCUGGUAUUAUCCUUUUAUUAUAUGCUUGACUCUUCACAUCGCCAUUAACUGUCAGCAUAAGAGACUAUGUAGUGUGAGAAUUGUGUUUCCGAUCUCAAGUUGUCUUUUACAGCCAACUUGACAUUGAGGGAGGGUAAUAGCAUAAGAGACUAUGUACUGUGAGAAUUGUGUUUUAUGAAAUGUGAGUAUGCGAGUUGUGUGAGAGUCGCACAUGUGAGGUGAACUGAGUCGAGAGAAUUCAAAUGAGUAUAUAAACUGAGUCUGUCCUGUAAACCAUUCUUAUCUUCUUCUAUUAAUCAAUUGAUUAUCAAAC
Papaver somniferum (opium poppy) is the source of this 2530-nucleotide long non-coding RNA. RefSeq lists it as uncharacterized. The transcript has 2 exons. Lineage: Eukaryota; Viridiplantae; Streptophyta; Magnoliopsida; Ranunculales; Papaveraceae. The record is from RefSeq and is a predicted model, not a curated record.